Molecule: unclassified non-coding RNA, 279 nt
Filed under: plant metagenome
Description: partial contains small subunit ribosomal RNA, internal transcribed spacer 1, and 5.8S ribosomal RNA
Source: RNAcentral
UAUCCGUAGGUGAACCUGCGGAAGGAUCAUUAUUGUAUAACCAAACUGCGAGAACUGUCGCUGACCCAACACGACGCGCACGCCCGAGUGCCCCCCCACACAUCCAACCCACCCCUACGCGCACCACCGCGUGGCCCCCCCUUUGGCUUGUUCGGAGAGGGGCUUACGGUUUCACAUAAACUAUGAAGUCAGUGUUUACUGUAAUGUUUGUUUUUGCUCUCACGCAGACAAUACAACUUGCAACAACGGAUCUCUUGCCUCUCGCAUCGAUGCAGAACA